This 309-nucleotide unclassified non-coding RNA is filed under the name Hevea brasiliensis (rubber tree). The record is from RNAcentral. Lineage: Eukaryota; Viridiplantae; Streptophyta; Magnoliopsida; Malpighiales; Euphorbiaceae.
AAAAAGACAAAAGGUAGACCAAAAUGAGCCAGGUUGAAAUUAAUCAAAGCUUAUGAUUGUGAACAUCUCAGAGAAAAUAUGGCCCUAGAUAUUGGAGGAAAUGAUUCAUGUAACCCACUCUAGUUAGUUAAAGAUGUAAUUCAUUUAGUUUGAACCAUUCUUUGCCAACUAGACAGAAGAUCAAGCCUAAGUAACGCAAUAACCAGAACUUCUCCUCUAAUUCAAGGGUUCUGACGUGACCAUGUAGUUUUAUGUUUCUAGUCAGUUAUUGGUUCUGAACUUUUAUUCUGAAUAUUCUAAAUUUCGUCA